RNAcentral lists this ribosomal RNA (497 nucleotides) under uncultured bacterium. Its description in RNAcentral is "partial 16S ribosomal RNA". It matches the Rfam family "Bacterial small subunit ribosomal RNA", at positions 28 to 507 of the family's 1533-position model. The record is from RNAcentral.
GAUGAACGCUGGCGGCGUGCCUAAUACAUGCAAGUCGAGCGAACAGAUGAGGAGCUUGCUCCUCUGACGUUAGCGGCGGACGGGUGAGUAACACGUGGAUAACCUACCUAUAAGACUGGGAUAACUUCGGGAAACCGGAGCUAAUACCGGAUAAUAUAUUGAACCGCAUGGUUCAAUAGUGAAAGACGGUUUUGCUGUCACUUAUAGAUGGAUCCGCGCCGCAUUAGCUAGUUGGUAAGGUAACGGCUUACCAAGGCAACGAUGCGUAGCCGACCUGAGAGGGUGAGCGGCCACACGUGAACUGAGACACGGUCCAGACUCCUACGGGAGGCAGCAGUAGGGAAUCUUCCGCAAUGGGCGAAAGCCUGACGGAGCAAAGCCGCGGGAGUGAUGAAGGUCUUCGGAUCGUAAAACUCUGUUAUUAGGGAAGAACAAAUGUGUAAGUAACUAUGCACGUCUUGACGGUACCUAAUCAGAAAGCCACGGCUAACUACGUG